RNAcentral lists this ribosomal RNA (427 nucleotides) under uncultured bacterium. Its description in RNAcentral is "partial 16S ribosomal RNA". It matches the Rfam family "Bacterial small subunit ribosomal RNA", at positions 355 to 774 of the family's 1533-position model. The record is from RNAcentral.
UGGGGAAUAUUGCACAAUGGGCGCAAGCCUGAUGCAGCCAUGCCGCGUGUAUGAAGAAGGCCUUCGGGUUGUAAAGUACUUUCAGCGAGGAGGAAGGCGGUAAGGUUAAUAACCUUAUCGAUUGACGUUACUCGCAGAAGAAGCACCGGCUAACUCCGUGCCAGCAGCCGCGGUAAUACGGAGGGUGCAAGCGUUAAUCGGAAUUACUGGGCGUAAAGCGCACGCAGGCGGUCUGUCAAGUCGGAUGUGAAAUCCCCGGGCUCAACCUGGGAACUGCAUUCGAAACUGGCAGGCUAGAGUCUUGUAGAGGGGGGUAGAAUUCCAGGUGUAGCGGUGAAAUGCGUAGAGAUCUGGAGGAAUACCGGUGGCGAAGGCGGCCCCCUGGACAAAGACUGACGCUCAGGUGCGAAAGCGUGGGGAGCAAGCA